GUGGGGAAUUUUGGACAAUGGGCGCAAGCCUGAUCUAGCGACGCCGCGUGGAGGACGAAGGCCUUCGGGUUGUAAACUCCUUUUGGAGGGGAAGAAUAAAUUGACGGUACCCUCAGAAAAAGCCACGGCUAACUACGUGCCAGCAGCCGCGGUAAUACGUAGGUGGCGAGCGUUACUCGGAAUUACUAGGCGUAAAGCGUAUGUAGGUGGUUAGAUAAGUCUAUGGUGAAAUUUCCUGGCUUAACUGGGAAGGGACAUAGAUACUAUCUGGCUUGAGUGUGGGAGGGGGAGACGGAAUUCCUGGUGUAGCGGUGAAAUGCGUAGAUAUCACGCAGAACUCCGAUUGCGAAGGCAGCUUACUAAGCUACAACUGACACUGAAGCACGAAAGCGUGGGGAUCAAACAGGAUUAGAAACCCUAGUAGUCC
RNAcentral lists this ribosomal RNA (427 nucleotides) under uncultured bacterium. RNAcentral describes it as "partial 16S ribosomal RNA". It matches the Rfam family "Bacterial small subunit ribosomal RNA", at positions 354 to 796 of the family's 1533-position model. The record is from RNAcentral.